RNAcentral lists this ribosomal RNA (37 nucleotides) under [Mannheimia] succiniciproducens. RNAcentral's name for it is "partial 23S ribosomal RNA". The record is from RNAcentral. Lineage: Bacteria; Pseudomonadati; Pseudomonadota; Gammaproteobacteria; Pasteurellales; Pasteurellaceae.
GGUUAAGUGACUAAGCGUACAAGGUGGAUGCCUUGGC